This 253-nucleotide ribosomal RNA is filed under the name uncultured bacterium. Its description in RNAcentral is "partial 16S ribosomal RNA". It matches the Rfam family "Bacterial small subunit ribosomal RNA", at positions 524 to 776 of the family's 1533-position model. The record is from RNAcentral.
UACGACGGGGGCUAGCGUUGCUCGGAAUCACUGGGCGUAAAGCGCACGUAGGCGGCUUUUUAAGUCAGGGGUGAAAUCCUGGAGCUCAACUCCAGAACUGCCUUUGAUACUGAGAAGCUUGAGUCCGGGAGAGGUGAGUGGAACUGCGAGUGUAGAGGUGAAAUUCGUAGAUAUUCGCAAGAACACCAGUGGCGAAGGCGGCUCACUGGCCCGAUACUGACGCUGAGGCACGAAAGCGUGGGGAGCAAACAGG